RNAcentral lists this long non-coding RNA (323 nucleotides) under Mustela putorius furo (domestic ferret). Its description in RNAcentral is "lncRNA (ENSMPUG00000027128.1)". The record is from RNAcentral. Lineage: Eukaryota; Metazoa; Chordata; Mammalia; Carnivora; Mustelidae.
CUGCAGGCUACUUUGAGAAACUGAUGUAGAGAACCGAGGACUGCUAAAAUACAUACAUGGGAUUUCCCCAAAUGUGGAAGAUACCUCAUGGAAUCAAAUGUUCACUGAUAGAAAGGUGGAUGGAGAAAAUGUGAUAUACACAUACAAUGGAAUGAAUACUCUUCAGCCUUAAAAAAGAAGGAAAUCUUACCAUUUACAACAACAUGGGUGGACCUGGAAGACAUUAUGCUAACUAAAACAAGACAUUAUGCUAACUAAAACAAGACUUUAUGCUAAAUGAAAGUGAUUUUUCAUAGAGGCAAAAUGUAUUAAACAAAAUCUUG